UGCUUUUUAUGGUUUUUGCAGUUUAAGUGGAGGACUUUCAUGCUCUGUUAACCCAGAGUUGAAGUGGUUUCCUCUUUGCAAAACAUGAAAAUGAUUUCUUCUUGCAAAGACUGUCAACCUCUUAGCACAAUUGACAAAGAGUAAGAAGUAUACGGAGCAAUUCUGUUAUCUCUUUGGGAUUUAGAACUUACUGAAGUUUUGGGAACAACUGAUAUUCCAAACUACUUUCGUGAGAAGAUUUUGUUAUGAAUGAAUAGCCGGGAUGCUUUCUUCUAUGCUUCAAAUAAUUAAAGUCAUAAUAUUUUGAUCAUCUUUUCUGUUCAUUGGAAGGAUGUGAGCUUGUUUUUCAUUUUCAGUUGAACAAUGCUUUAUUUUAUUAUUACAUCUGAAUAGGGUAACUCCCCGUAAAGUGUGCAUCAAUAAGUCUGCCAUGAUAUCAGCUUCAAUUUUAUAGUUAUGUUCGUUCUUGUAAUUUCAAAAGUAACUCAAGUUCAGAAACUCACGUAUUCUCAAAUUCUUUGUUGCAUUUUCUUAA
Molecule: non-coding RNA, 535 nt
Organism: Nicotiana tabacum (common tobacco)
Lineage: Eukaryota; Viridiplantae; Streptophyta; Magnoliopsida; Solanales; Solanaceae
Source: RefSeq, a predicted model, not a curated record